AACGAGCCAAAACUGAGGAAUGU
Molecule: non-coding RNA, 23 nt
Filed under: Arabidopsis thaliana (thale cress)
Lineage: Eukaryota; Viridiplantae; Streptophyta; Magnoliopsida; Brassicales; Brassicaceae
Source: RNAcentral